RNAcentral lists this long non-coding RNA (7073 nucleotides) under Solanum lycopersicum (tomato). RNAcentral describes it as "long non-coding RNA (SLYC_LNC000408)". The record is from RNAcentral. Lineage: Eukaryota; Viridiplantae; Streptophyta; Magnoliopsida; Solanales; Solanaceae.
UUAGAAAUUCCUUAAAACUCCAUUGAAGUCCAAAGUCAAAGAAGAGCCUUGUCUGAUGAAUUGAGUGAACAUUAUUAAUCAAAAUGAAAAAUUAGCUUCAUCAAGGUAUGAAGUUUGAUCCUUCAAACUCUCUUCAUCAAGGAUCCCAAAUCUCAAGAUGCUUUCUAUUGUAUUCAAUGUUGAAUUGUCGAAUUUCACUAUUCUACAAUGGGUUCUUGAAUCAACUGUUUUUAAACGUUAAUAUGGAUUAUAUUUUUAUCUAAUUGACAAUUUUAACCUAAAUUACCUAUGAACCCAUGAAUUGGAUUACCCAUGUUUUUGACUAAGUUGUGGGUUACUAUAUAUUGAUCUAAUGUUGAUGAUUUUUUAUGUAUUUUUAUGUGAGCUAUUCAUUGUUGUAAUAAUUGUAGUAAGUUUAUAUAUAGGUUAUAUUGGAUUGAUGAAUAUAUAGUAAUUUGACAUAGUAUAAUGAAUAUUGUUAUUAUUAUAUUGAGUUGUUGGUAAAGGCCAUGGGAAAGGCCUUGUGAUAUCGAAUGUGAUGAUUUUCUCUUGGAUUUAGGUGUUGAGGAUGAUAUGGUGGUAAGAAGCCAUAUUUCUUUAAUUUUGAUGUUAAUUGGACUUCAAUUCUAUUUUAAUUUUUAUGGUCCAAUUAUGGCUGUGGUUUUAUGUGUCUUACUUGCAAUUGAUGUGGCUUUGGCUCCAUUGCAUUAUGUAUUAUGAUUAUCAUGGCCUUGUCGGCAAAUACAUGAAGUAAUAUGGCUAAUUGUGUAGUUAUAUUAUGUUAAAAAUGAAAAUAUCUGUCUACAUGUGAAGUUAUAUAUGUGUUCUUCUAUUCAUGUCAUCUUAGGUGAUCAUGUUAGACAAUGAUUUUAACCUUUUGUAUAUAGUCUUAGGGUUGAGUCUUGGGUAUUCCAUGUGGGCUAUAUGAGUUAUGACGCCCUAAAAGGAACUAAGGUGAACUAGGGACUCAUGAGUUCUCUUAAAUUAAUUUGAAGUUAAAAUGAGUUACUUUAGUGUUCUUAGGCAGCGUGUGAAGUUUGGUUAUGUUUGGAUGUGAAACGUCCAAGAAAAUCCAUGAUGUUUUGAAGGUGUGCCUUAAAUAGCGCUUGUGUGUCUUGAUGAAGGGCCCAAAGCUUGGCAACAAGCUGCCACAAAAGUGAAAAAACGAUGACCCUAAAAUGGUCUGUUUUUCUACCAAGGGUCCAUCAACCAAAGGUCUCGAUUGGUCCAUCUUGUCAAAAUGUUCAAGCUCCAUUUGGAUCUAAGUGUCAACCAACGAGACCCCACCAACGGUCCAUUGGUUAAGUCUCCACUAUGAGGGGUUCAAACACUGUAAAUUUUCUGCCAAGGCUUGAGUGUUUAGUAAUUUCACCUCCAGUCUUUUAUUCCCCCAGGAAGUUACUUUUAGGGUUUAUUAGAUAUAUUAAAUUGUUCUAAACCUAAGACAUAAUUUUAGACCCCACUUCCUUUAACCCAAAACCCUUCUCUAUUAGAAUUCUCUUUUAAUUCUCUAUGGAAUCUAGAAGUCAAUAAAUGCUAGGAGGAUUAUUGAUAGUUGUUUCUUCAUCAAAAAUCAUUUGUAUUUCUUCAAUGUAAGGAAUGGUAUCCAGCAUUGGACUCUCUUUCGUUCAAAGAGUUCCUUCUAAUGAAUUUUUAAAAUUUGUUUUCAACCAUAGUUUUUAAUAUCUUCAACUCCAAAUAUGGGUCCUGCAUAAAAAUUUUUGAAUGACUAAUGAUGAAUUUUCUAAUGUUAGUUUACGAUUUUACAGUUAAAACAUUAAUAAAAUCAUGUUAGUGCUUUUGAUGUAAUAUUGUCUUAAGAAAUAGGUUAAAUAAGCAUAAAUUGAUAGUCUUUGAGCUUUGGUUUCUUAUUGUCGUUAUUGUUGUUUAGCUACUUCCUAAAGGGCUUUAUUAUGGUGAAACAUUGAGAAAAAGGUUGUAGGUGAUCAAAGCUUCGAUUAAAGCGUGAGUUGGUUAUGUUGUUUAAUUUAAAUUUGAAAUUCUCUUGAGAGGUAUGGUCCACCUUCUUGGUGGCGGUGUUCAUUUGAAUUGUAUGAAUGUGAAGUUACUUGUUUAUUGUGAAUGAGUCCAUGAAGGUUUGUUAUGUUAAAUAAGAUGAAUUAUGCUAUUCUUGCUAAAUAUUCCUCAUCAAGCUAUUAUGUGAAAUAAGCUAGAAACUAUGCUUAAAUGAUGUUAUUCUUGUUAAUUGUUUUAUAAAGUUUGUUAUGAAAUGUAUGUUAAGAAUAUUGUCCCAAGAAGUUAUAUGAUUGUAUGAAGUGUGUAAAGUGUGUGAAGUGAUUAAUUAAGGUCUAAGCAUGCAUUUAAGUGUAAAUAAGAUGAAACUUAUAUCCAAGGUGUGUUCACAUGUACACAUAAACUCACACUUGGAUGAAUGAAUGAAUCUAAGUAGAUUCCUAAAGGAGAGUUUUGGGAUAAACACUCUUCCUGAGUUGAGAUGAAGUUAUUAUUUGCAAUUCCAAUGCGUCCCAUGAGCUUUCUUAGAUAGAUUAGAUGAUAAAUGCCCUUUGUGAGUUGACAUGUGAUGUUCACUAGUUAUCCUUAAAGUAUAGUUUUAAAGUGUUUAGAAUUAGUGGGGUUUAAGCCUAGCACCUAGAGGAUAUGAUGGAGAGGUGGUUACACUUCGUGAGUUGAGAUUUUAUAUUCCAAUGUACCUCUGUAGAUGAGUACUCCUUCUUAAUAGAAACUGAGUUACUUAGUAGAAAUCUCCAUUUCCCUUAAAUAUGAGCCCACGUAUAUGUUGCUUUUGAGAAAGCCAUGUAAAAUCCAAAAAAAACUGAUCUUACUCUAGGCAAGUGAGGAUACCUCAUCCGAUAGGGGUUAAUGUUGGGAUUCCAUGGCUAGCUCUCAAGGUCUAUGUCAGUUAAGCUAACCCUCCACAAAAAAAUUGAUUGAAGUAAGUCUUCAAAAUGAACAUACUACUUAGGGUAGGUGGUGGUAUGGGACACUAUCUACUCAUUGCACUAGGUAGGUUCUUCCAAAACGAAAGACUUGGUGCCAAACCUUCUAAAGGAAUGUAAUACUUAGGGUAGGUUGUGGUAUGAUACGCUCUCUACUCAAUGAACUAUGUAGGAUUUCUGAAAGGGAAGAGUUUGGUUGUUUGUUGAGUAUCUUUUAAUGUCUUUCCAUUCAUUGAGGGACUUGUUUCUCCCAAAUUGAGUAAGAUAAAAGGGGUAGUCUUGAGGAUUCAUUUGGUGUGAAUUGAAGGAGGCAUAUGCAUAAUUCCUUCAUGUCUUACCUUAGUGAGUCUUAGGAUAAUCCCUAAGUAGUGAAACUCUUUAGUUCAAUUUCUCUUUCAUUUUUCCUUGAGAGUUGACUUAUUUAGAAUAGGAUAGUUCAUUGUGAAUUCUUUAAAUGUUUCAUUGUUAAGUUCCAGAUUUGUUUACUAUAAUGUUACUUAGAGUUCACUUUAUGUUUUCGGGAGUUACUGUAAAUGUUUUUUUUGUUAAAAUUAUGUUAGUUCUUAUUUUAUGUGUUAAAUGAUGGUUCUCAUGUUGAUUUUCUUCUAAAUUCAUGAAUGUUUUAAUUAAUUUGGCAUGAUAUGUUAUAUUACUAAAAUCUCCCUUUUUGCAUGUUUUUGCAUAUGCCAUACUUAGUAAAUUAAUUGUACUAACCCCUAAGUUUUCUAUACGUUAUAAGCAUAGAUUGAAGACUUUUUGGAAGAUCAGAAGGUGAAUAUUCGGAAAUUUAAUCUCUCAAGAAUUGUUAUGUCCUCAUAAAUUCGAUUACAUAGUCUAUUGUUUCCUAGUUUUAUUAUCAAGAUUUAUUAUCUAUUUGAUUCCAUUGUAAAAGGUCAUGUCCCUAAAAUAUUAGAUGUCUUGUCUUAAGUUUUGCUUGUGACGAUGAGUUUUCUCAAUUGUUUAUGAAAGAUUUCCUUUCCAUUAAUAUAUUCAUGAAAAGUUUUAUUUGUGAAUUACUUUUCAAGUCUUAUGUAAUGAAUGUUUUAUAAAGGGAUUUUACAAGCCCCAAAGGUUCAAUUACGCCUGGUAAAGAAACGAGAGUUCCUCCUAAAUUCAAGGGUGUACUUUCGAGUUGUGACAUGAUUGCAUGUUUAUCACAUUUAUGAUGGUAUGAUAGUGGAUAUGAUAACUUCAAUAUGAUGUAUGUGGUGUCUUGUCUUUGUUGACAUGUGUCCCUUGAUGUAUAUAUGAAUAUGAAUAUGUGAUGGAUUUAUUUAAGAUGUUAAAGCUUUUACUUUUGUAUGUAUGAAUGACAUGAGACCUUAAAUAAUGUUAGGAGAGUCUUUUAUGUGAAAUAUUUACCCUAGUGGUAAAGUUGUGAAUGUUGAAGUCGUAAGGCGAAAUGGUAUCCUUCAAAAUAAUGGAAUGAAAGACUUAAGGUUUAUUGGCUGGAACAACAUCAUAUAAAUCCUUAGGAAAGUCAUCAUGAUAUUCUUUUUGCCAUUGUGAGGUAGCCCUAGUGGAACUUUCAUUCGUAGGGUAAUUUUGAUUGUGUUAUGAACUUUUUAGGGAACCCAUUUAUGUGGACCUUAUGUGUGAUUAAUCAAUGAGAAAGAAGGCUAGCGUCGAGUGACUAUGGUAAGGGAGUAGUUCUAGUUAAAGCGUGAGACUAGAUUACCCCUAUUGUUGUUGGUAGGUAAGGAUCAUUUGGGAAGAGAAGACUUUGACCGUAGCAUCAUUCAAGAUCAGUUCAAGUAUGUCCUCAUUUGAUUCGAGGGCAUAGAUUGUCUUUUAAGUUUUCAUUUGAAGUAUUGCAAUACACUAAGUAUUUCUAUUUUUUGAAGUAUGGGUCGUGUCUAAGUAUUCUUGUGUCUUAAGAUGAUGAGAUAGAGAUUUAGUAUUUUUUAUUGCUUUAUAUGAAUGAGUUUUUAAAGACUAUGAAGUAUAUUUUGAAAUGUUUUAUUUUAGAACUAACUUUCACUAUGUUUAUGCGAUGAAUGAUAUGUAAGAGCUUUCCCAAAACCUCCGAGAGGUCAGUUAUGCCGGUUGCAAUCUGAGAUUGCCCCUAACUUCUAGGGUAUGGUUUAGGUAUGUUACAUAUACAAUCUUUAGUACUCAAAUGAAAGGAAAUGAACAUAUGGUUUUUAAGACGAAUCAAUAUCCGAAGAUAGAAAAUGGAGUUUUCCCCGAAGUCGUGAUGACCUACCCAACAUGGAGAAUUAUGAUCCAAGUGUUCUUCAAAUGUCUUCAAUAGCCCUUCUACGAUUAGAACUUAAAAUGAUAGGGAAAUGGGAGAUAAUGGGAUUAUCACAUCACUUUUAUUAUGUAUAUGAUCAUAUGCAUAUAUAACAUAAUGUCAUGCUUAAAUGGGACAUUUCAUUAAAGCGUGCCAGUUAGUUGGAGAAGCCUUAUGAACAUUCAAGCACCAAUAGUACUAAGCUUAGUCAAUUCAACAUGCAUAUCAACAUAGUUGAGCACAUAAUCAAUACAACUCUAUCAUCAAGUCAUACCCUCAACAAGAAUAUAUAAGAGUUCAUAACAUCAUAACCAAAGAAAGACCAUUACUCAUGAUCCCUCAUUAAGUACACUAGUUAAAUUACUAAGUAAGGCUCCAUAACCUCACUCAAGCAAGUAAACCCAACAAGAGCCAUAAUCAAUGUGAACAUCACAUACCAUAUCAUUAUGGUGGCUUAUGAAGGAUAUUUAGGCAAGUCUUGUGAUGUUAAUUCCUUACUGUAAUUGUGGUUACAUGUGAUUAAGUGAUGAUAUUGUAUUGAAGUAUACCUUAUGUUAAGACUGAUAGGGUUGGUAAGAUGUUGAAUUGGAUUGUCUUGAACAAUGGUUUCUGAGUUGUUGGCUAAUUUGUAAAUGUUAUAAUCAUGGUGAUAACGUACGAAUGUUCCUUAUCAUGAUAUGAUUAUGUAAAUAUGUAACCCUCACAUGUAUGAAUUUUAUUAAAAGGAUACACAUAUGAAAUUCUUACUGAGCUAUGAUAAUGAUUAUAUAAGGGAUAGACCCUAUGACCUUCAUUAUGCUAUGAUGAUUAAUAAAGGCAUUAAAUAAAUUUCAAAAGGGACUCUAGCUAAGCACCAUUUUAACUAGAGUGAAAAGUCUCCAUUCCCACAUAAUUAAGGUUGGAUCACUAAUGUACUCAUGAGAUUGGAGACUAUUAUUCAUGUAGCAUAAAAAGGAUUUCAACUACAUCUCCUAGAUCUUGAACUAUGUUGCCCUAAUAGGAAUACUAGCAAGAGGAUCCACAUAGAAGUUGUGUCAUGUUCUGGUACUACCUAGACAUGUACUUCGCCUUAUUUUGGUGUAAGGUUCCACACAAAAUUCCACAUUAGCUCAAGUUGUCUACGUCUUUUAAGGCAUGAUGUUUCCUAAAGGUAAAAUGAAGUAAUGGAAUGAACUAUAACUAGGAUUACCUAAGGGGCUUAGCUUAAUCUUUGUAGUUGUAUGGGACUGUACCUAUAUAUUGCACUAGUUAGCGUUCAGGGAAGAAUUAGGUGGAUGUUGUAAUGUAUGUAUAUUCUUAUAAAUGUAAAUCAUUUGUAUUUGAUAAUAUUACCUGUUGAGGAAACUAUAUGAUAUUGGUUUCACUUGUGAAUAUGUGUUUUGUCCCUAUUCCUAAAGUAUGAUGUUAUGUACUCUUACCGAUAUACUAUGUUAAGUUGGACAUUGUUUAUGGUUCUUGUGAGGUUUACUUGAUUAAGUAAGGUUAUAGGGUUUUACUUAGUCAUUGAACUAGUAGAGUUAAUGAUGGUUCAUAAUGCUUUUAAAAGUAAAUUACAUGGUUUAAUGAAAAGUCUCAUUUUACAAUUAUUUUAUGUUAUGUGUGCAUAUGAUCCUAUACUUAGUAUAUGUAAUGUGCUAACGCCAUUUUCUCACUUUUCUCCAAAAUAUUACGUUCCGGUCGUUGAAGGUCUUCUGACGACAUUUGAAGAAGACAUGGAUUCUCAUUCUCCAAGUUUGGUAGGUCCUCACCACUUCGAGAACAAUGUUAUUUCCUAGCUUCGAAGAUUGAUUAGUCUUAAAGACAAUAUGUUAAUGUCCUUUAUUUAGAGUACGAAAGAUUGUAUAGCCUAUAUGUGGCUCUUAUUGUAUUAAUGUAUGGAGUAUGUCCAAUUGUUAUUGUCUUUUUUAGAUGGUUAUGAG